This 74-nucleotide transfer RNA is filed under the name Arsenicicoccus sp. oral taxon 190. Its description in RNAcentral is "tRNA-Gly". It matches the Rfam family "tRNA". From Rfam's summary of the family: Transfer RNA (tRNA) molecules are approximately 80 nucleotides in length. Their secondary structure includes four short double-helical elements and three loops (D, anti-codon, and T loops). Further hydrogen bonds mediate the characteristic L-shaped molecular structure. tRNAs have two regions of fundamental functional importance: the anti-codon, which is responsible for specific mRNA codon recognition, and the 3' end, to which the tRNAs corresponding amino acid is attached (by aminoacyl-tRNA synthetases). tRNAs cope with the degeneracy of the genetic code in two manners: having more than one tRNA (with a specific anti-codon) for a particular amino acid; and 'wobble' base-pairing, i.e. permitting non-standard base-pairing at the 3rd anti-codon position. Lineage: Bacteria; Bacillati; Actinomycetota; Actinomycetes; Micrococcales; Intrasporangiaceae. RNAcentral also lists the same sequence under 1 other name. The record is from RNAcentral.
GCGGGUGUAGUUCAAUGGCAGAACAGCAGCUUCCCAAGCUGCUAGUGCGAGUUCGAUUCUCGUCACCCGCUCCA